RNAcentral lists this transfer RNA (66 nucleotides) under Potamanthus sp. MT-2014. RNAcentral's name for it is "tRNA-Tyr". It matches the Rfam family "tRNA". From Rfam's summary of the family: Transfer RNA (tRNA) molecules are approximately 80 nucleotides in length. Their secondary structure includes four short double-helical elements and three loops (D, anti-codon, and T loops). Further hydrogen bonds mediate the characteristic L-shaped molecular structure. tRNAs have two regions of fundamental functional importance: the anti-codon, which is responsible for specific mRNA codon recognition, and the 3' end, to which the tRNAs corresponding amino acid is attached (by aminoacyl-tRNA synthetases). tRNAs cope with the degeneracy of the genetic code in two manners: having more than one tRNA (with a specific anti-codon) for a particular amino acid; and 'wobble' base-pairing, i.e. permitting non-standard base-pairing at the 3rd anti-codon position. RNAcentral also lists the same sequence under 1 other name. The record is from RNAcentral. Lineage: Eukaryota; Metazoa; Arthropoda; Insecta; Ephemeroptera; Potamanthidae.
GGUAAGGUGGCUGAAUUAAGGUGAUAGACUGUAAAUCUAUUUAUGAGAAUUUAUUCUCCCUUGCCA